RNAcentral lists this ribosomal RNA (429 nucleotides) under uncultured prokaryote. RNAcentral's name for it is "bacterial SSU rRNA". It matches the Rfam family "Bacterial small subunit ribosomal RNA", at positions 355 to 774 of the family's 1533-position model. The record is from RNAcentral.
UCGAGGAUAGUCUACAAUGGUCGAAAGAUUGAUAGUGCGACGCCGCGUGAACGAAGAAGCAUUUCGGUGUGUAAAGUUCUUUUCUAUGCGAGCAGGGAUUGGGAGGUUAAUAGCUUCCUGGUUUUGAUAUUAGUAUAGGAAUAAGCCACGGCUAACUCCGUGCCAGCAGCCGCGGUAAUACGGGGGUGGCAAGCGUUGUCCGGAAUUACUAGGCGUAAAGGGCAGGGAGGCGGAUUGGUAAGUUAAUUGUUAAAGGCCCAUGCUCACCAUGGGUAAGGCAGUUGAUACUGUCAGUCUGGAAGCGAGUGGGGGAAGACGGAAUUCCUGGUGUAGCGGUGGAAUGCGCAGAUAUCAGGAGGAACACCGAAGGCGAAGGCAGUCUUCUACGCUUUGCUUGACGCUAAACUGCGAAGGUGCGGGUAUCAAACA